This is a long non-coding RNA of Vespa mandarinia (Asian giant hornet), 830 nucleotides long. Lineage: Eukaryota; Metazoa; Arthropoda; Insecta; Hymenoptera; Vespidae. The record is from RefSeq and is a predicted model, not a curated record.
AAUAGUCAAAGGAGAGAAUAACAUUUCAUUCUCGUCAAUUUGUUUAAUAAGAAUUGAAAGAAAUCUGUAAACAGUGUUAAAGCGUGUAAUGUAUAAAGGGUAUACAAGUGUGUAUACUUGAAUAAAUACAUAGAACCUUUUACGAAUAUAAUAGAAAAGACAUUUUGCGUGUGCGUGCUGUGUUACAAGUGAAAAUACAUUUUCGAGAUAGCUUGUUUUGUGUUUACUGAUUCAUUAUCAGAGGAAAACCGUUUAAAGCGUUGAGGGCAAAGUCGAUGCAGCCAUGUAUGCAGCUGCGUUCACACAAUGGGAAAGCCUCGAAUUCUGAACAUGACUCGACUACAACGGAUUCGUCGGAAUAUCGGGUGUUUAAUACUGGUACAUUAUUUCGAUAAGUUAUACGACAUUAGAAGCACCGAUAUCCGACGUAAGUUGCUUUUCCCCUUUUUUCCCGGCUUGUCGACAAAAACAUCUGUGAAAUUCUAUUUCUGUUCCUUUCUCAUUCUUUUCUGAGCUUUUGGCAGAAUGUUUUUCCUGUCUUGUAAACUUACGGAUUGCUUGAUUUUAAUUAUUUUACUCUCGACUUUUUUUUCUUCUUUUUCUUUUAAGAGAUCUCUUUGAAUAAUAACGAAGUAUGUUACUCCGAAUUUGCGAAUUUAAAAUUUAAACAGCGAUUCUUUGUCCAACAAUUUCGUUUAUUCGAUGCAAUUAACUAAAAAAAAAAAAAAAAAAUAAAAAAAAACCAGUGAAGAAGUUCUCGUGGAACUUUUAAGUUUUAAAUGUUUCUUAUAAUCAUAAAUUAUCGAUCCUUCGAAUUCAGGCUGAACCAA